UACGUAGGGUGCGAGCGUUAAUCGGAAUUACUGGGCGUAAAGCGUGCGCAGGCGGUUCGUUGUGUCGGCGGUGAAAGCCCCGGGCUCAACCUGGGAAUGGCCCGUUGAAACUGGCGAACUGGAGUGUGGCAGAGGGGGUGGAAUUCCGCGUGUAGCAGUGAAAUGCGUAGAGAUCGCGGAGGAACACCGAUGGCGAAGGCAGCCCC
RNAcentral lists this ribosomal RNA (206 nucleotides) under uncultured bacterium. Its description in RNAcentral is "partial 16S ribosomal RNA". It matches the Rfam family "Bacterial small subunit ribosomal RNA", at positions 524 to 728 of the family's 1533-position model. The record is from RNAcentral.